GACAAACGCUGGCGGCGUGCUUAACACAUGCAAGUCGAACGAUGAAAGAAGAAGGAACUCUUCGGAGGGAAUUCUUUUGGAAUAGUGGCGGACGGGUGAGUAAUACAUGAGCAAUCUGCCUUUCACAGAGGGAUAGCCUCGGGAAACCGGGAUUAAUACCACAUAAAGCUUGACACUCGCAUGAGUAUCAGGUCAAAGAUUUAUCGGUGAAAGAUGAGCUCAUGACUGAUUAGCUAGUUGGUGAGGUAACGGCUCACCAAGGCUGCGAUCGGUAGCCGGACUGAGAGGUUGAACGGCCACAUUGGAACUGAGACACGGUCCAAACUCCUACGGGAGGCAGCAGUGGGGAAUAUUGCACAAUGGAGGGAACUCUGAUGCAGCGACGCCGCGUGAGCGAAGAAGGUUUUCGGAUCGUAAAGCUCUGUCCUAUGGGAAGAUAGUGACGGUACCAUAG
Molecule: ribosomal RNA, 454 nt
Filed under: Peptostreptococcaceae bacterium oral taxon E45
Lineage: Bacteria; Bacillati; Bacillota; Clostridia; Peptostreptococcales; Peptostreptococcaceae
Description: bacterial SSU rRNA
Rfam family: Bacterial small subunit ribosomal RNA
Source: RNAcentral